RNAcentral lists this ribosomal RNA (275 nucleotides) under Colophorina robinae. RNAcentral's name for it is "partial 12S ribosomal RNA". The record is from RNAcentral. Lineage: Eukaryota; Metazoa; Arthropoda; Insecta; Hemiptera; Psyllidae.
GAGUAGUAAAAGAUAAGAUCUUCAAACUCAAUAAAUUUGGCGGUAUUUUAUCUAUACAGAGGAACCUGUCUAUUAAUUGAUACUCCACAAUUACUUUACUUUUAUUAAUUUAUUUGUAUACCGCUGUCAUGAGUAUAUUAUUAAAUAAUUUUCAUAAGAUUUAUGUUAGGUCAAGGUGCAGUUUUUAAAGUUUUAGAUGGGUUACAUUAGUUGAAUGAAAGGAAAUAGGAUUUGUUAGUAAACAAAGAAUUUAUGAAAAAAGAUUCUAGAAUAUG